This is a long non-coding RNA of Dreissena polymorpha, 2436 nucleotides long. RefSeq lists it as uncharacterized. The record is from RefSeq and is a predicted model, not a curated record. Lineage: Eukaryota; Metazoa; Mollusca; Bivalvia; Myida; Dreissenidae. The transcript is spliced from 3 exons.
AUCCUUCAAUGUGGGUCAAUAUGUUUUGAUAAAAAAUAUUGAGAGUGCAUCAAUAGGCUAAGGUGUGUGUCAAUAGGCCAAGGUGUGUGUCAAUAGGCCUUGGUGUUUGUCAAUAGGCCUAGGUGUGUCAAUAGACCUAGGUGUGUGUAAAUAGGCAUUGAAGUGUGUCAAAAGACCUAUGUGUGUGUCAAAAGCCCUAGGUGUGUGUCAAUAGCCAUUGGUAUGUGCCAAUAGCCCUUGGUGUGUGUCAAAAGGCAUUGGUGUGUGUCAAUAUGAUUGGUGUGUGUCAAUAGGCCUAGGUGUGUGUCAAUAGGCCUUGGUUUGUGUCAUUAGGCCUUGGUUUGUGCCAAUAGGCCAAAGAGUGUUUCAAUAGGCCUUGGUGUGUGUCAAUAUGCCUAGGUGCGUGUCAAUAGGCUAAGGUGUGUGUCAAUAGACAAGGGUGUGUGUUGAUAGGCCUUGGCUUGGUGUGUGUCAAUGAGCCUAUGUGUGUGUCAGUAGGCCUAAUUGUGUGUCAAUAAGCCUAGGUGUGUGUCAAUAGGCCUUGGUGUGUGUCAAUAAGCCUAGGUGUGUGUCAAUAGGCCUAAGUGUGUGCCAAUAGGCCUUGGUGUGUGUCAAUAGGCCUAGGUGUGUGUCGAAAGGCCUUGGCAUAUGUCAAUAGGCUAAGGUGUGUGUCAAUAGAUUAGGGUGUAUGUCAAUAGGCUUAUGCAUGUGUCCAUAGGCCUUUAAGCCUUUGUGUGUGUCAAUAAGCCUUGGUGUGUGUCAAUAAGCCUAGUUGUAUGUAAAUAGGCCUAGGUAUGUGUCAAUAGGCCUUGGUGUGUGUCGAUAGGCCUAUGUGUGUGUCAAUAAGACUAGGUGUGUGUCGAUAGGCACAUGUGUAUAUCAAUAAGCAUAGAUGUGUGUCAAUAAGCCUUGGUGUGUGUGUCAAUAGGCAAAGGUGUGUGUCAAUAAGCUAAGUUGUGUGUCAAAUGACUAGGGUGUGUGUCAAUAGGCCUAGGUGUGUGUCAAUUGGCCUUGGUGUGUGUCCAUAGGCGUUGCUGUGUGUCAAUUGGCCUAGUUGUGUGUCCAUAAGGCUAAAGUAUGUGUCCAUAGGGCUAAGGUGUGUGUCAAUAUGCCUUGGUGUGGGUCAACAGGCUAAGAUGUGUGUCAAUAAUAUUUGGUGUGUGUGUAAAUAUGCCUUUGUUUUUCCAUAGGCUGAGGUGUGUGUCAAUAGGCCUAGGUGUGUGUCAAUAGGCUAAGAUGUGUGUCAAUGAGCCUUGGUGAGUUAAUAUGCAAAGGUGUGUGCAACUAGGCAUUGGUGUGUUUCAAUAGACAAAGGUGUGUGCCAAUAGGCUAAGGUGUGUGUCAAUAUGCUUAGGUGUGUGUCAAUAGGCCUAGGUGUGUUUCAAUAGGCUAAGGUGUGUGUCAAUAGGCUAAGGUGUGUGUCAGAGGCUAAGGUGUGUGUCCAUAGACCUAGGUGUGUGUGUCAAUAGGCCUUGGUGUGUGUCAAUAGUUGUAGGUAUGUAUCAAUAGGCCUAGAUGUAUGUGUCAAUAGGCCUAGGCCUGGGUCAAUAGGCCUAGGUGUGUGCCAAUAGGCUAAGGUGUGUGUCAAUAGGCUAAGUUGUGUAUCAAUAGGCUAAAAUGUGUGUCAAUAGGCUAAAGUGUGUGUCAAUAGGCUAAGGUGUGUGUCAAUAGGCUUGAGGGUGUCAAUAGGCUAAGGUGUGUUUCAAUAGGCUAAGGUGUGUGUCAAUUGGCUAAGGUGUGUGUCAAUUGGCUAAGGUGUGUGUCAAUUGGCUAAGGUGUGUGUCAAAGCGCUGAGGUGUGUGGGCCUUCAUGUGUGUCAAUAUGCCUUGGUGUGUGUGAAUAGGCUGAGGUGUGUGGGCCUAGCUCUGUGUCAAUAGGCCAAGUGUGUGUCAAUAGGCCUAGAUGUGUUUCAAUAGCCCUAAGUGUGUGUCAAUUCUUAAUAGGCCUAGGUGUGUGUCAAUUCGCCAACGUGUAUGUUAGUAAACGUAUGCAGGUCUCAAAUAGGCCUAGUAGGUGUGUUAAAAGUGGUUAUCAAUAAGUCAUUCUGUCAAUAAUGAUUAAACAUAACAUAAAAUAGAUUUAAGGGCUAGUAAAUACUUGAAAUAAUUAUUACAAGAACACUUAAAAUUUCUAAUCUUAUUGGGUUGUUUAUACACCUACUCCUAAUUCUAGGGCAGAGACAAGAAUCCUAUACACAUUUUUCAAAACAUUGUAUGUGAAAGUCAAGCACUUUAAGUUUGUCAAAGUUUAAUUAAGUAGUAUAUUACGGAAAGCUUUAUUGGCCACUCACCCCACUGAUAUGCAAACCUAACCAAAACGAGAUCACAUGUCAUACAUACACACUGCUUUAAUGUACUUAUAAUUACUAGUAUGUAGUAUCUGGAUGUACAUGUAUCUUAAUUGUGAAACAAAUCCUGGAUGCGCUUGCAGCGUAUG